UACGUAGGGGGCUAGCGUUGUCCGGAAUCACUGGGCGUAAAGAGCGUGUAGGCGGUCCGGCAAGUCCGCUGUGAAAGUCGGGGGCUCAACCCUCGAAUGCCGGUGGAUACUGUCGGGCUAGAGUGCGGAAGAGGCGAGUGGAAUUCCUGGUGUAGCGGUGAAAUGCGCAGAUAUCAGGAGGAACACCUAUUGCGAAGGCAGCUCGCUGGGACGUAACUGACGCUGAGACGCGAAAGCGUGGGGAGCAAACAGG
RNAcentral lists this ribosomal RNA (253 nucleotides) under uncultured bacterium. RNAcentral's name for it is "partial 16S ribosomal RNA". It matches the Rfam family "Bacterial small subunit ribosomal RNA", at positions 524 to 776 of the family's 1533-position model. The record is from RNAcentral.